AUCUGGUUCAGGACGAACGCUGGCGGCGUGCCUAAUACAUGCAAGUCGAACGGUCUUUUCUAUGGAAGCUUGCUCCACUGAGAAGAUAGUGGCGAACGGGUGAGUAACACGUGGGUAACCUGCCCAUAAGAGGGGGGAUAACAUCCGGAAACGGGUGCUAAUACCGCAUAGUUUUCUUGAUCGCAUGAUCGGGAAAGGAAAGACGGCCUUUGUGCUGUCGCUUAUGGAUGGACCCGCGGCGUAUUAGUUAGUUGGUGAGGUAACGGCUCACCAAGACGAUGAUACGUAGCCGACCUGAGAGGGUGAUCGGCCACAUUGGGACUGAGACACGGCCCAAACUCCUACGGGAGGCAGCAGUAGGGAAUCUUCCGCAAUGGACGAAAGUCUGACGGAGCAACGCCGCGUGAGUGAAGAAAAGGUUUUCGGAUCGUAAAACUCUGUUGUCAGAGAAGAACAAGUUGGAGAGUAACUGCUCCAGCCUUGACGGUAUCUGACCAGAAAGCCACGGCUAACUACGUGCCAGCAGCCGC
This 530-nucleotide ribosomal RNA is filed under the name uncultured bacterium. Its description in RNAcentral is "bacterial SSU rRNA". It matches the Rfam family "Bacterial small subunit ribosomal RNA", at positions 17 to 518 of the family's 1533-position model. The record is from RNAcentral.